This 1440-nucleotide ribosomal RNA is filed under the name uncultured bacterium. RNAcentral's name for it is "bacterial SSU rRNA". It matches the Rfam family "Bacterial small subunit ribosomal RNA". The record is from RNAcentral.
GACGAACGCUGGCGGCGCGCCUAACACAUGCAAGUCGAACGGAGUUGAGAGGAGCUUGCUUUUCUUGACUUAGUGGCGAACGGGUGAGUAACGCAUGAGGAACCUGCCUCAAAGAGGGGGACAACAGUUGGAAACGACUGCUAAUACCGCAUAAGCCCACGGUCCCGCAUGGGAGAGAGGGAAAAGGAGCAAUCCGCUUUGAGAUGGCCUCGCGUCCGAUUAGCUGGUUGGUGAGGUAACGGCCCACCAAGGCGACGAUCGGUAGCCGGACUGAGAGGUUGAACGGCCACAUUGGGACUGAGACACGGCCCAGACUCCUACGGGAGGCAGCAGUGGGGAAUAUUGCACAAUGGGGGAAACCCUGAUGCAGCGACGCCGCGUGGAGGAAGAAGGUCUUCGGAUUGUAAACUCCUGUUGUUGGGGAAAAAGAGGAUGGUACCCAACAAGGAAGUGACGGCUAACUACGUGCCAGCAGCCGCGGUAAAACGUAGGUCACGAGCGUUGUCCGGAAUUACUGGGUGUAAAGGGAGCGCAGGCGGGUAUGCAAGUUGGGAGUGAAAUACAUGGGCUCAACCCAUGAACUGCUCUCAAAACUGUGUAUCUUGAGUAGUGCAGAGGUAGGCGGAAUUCCCGGUGUAGCGGUGGAAUGCGUAGAUAUCGGGAGGAACACCAGUGGCGAAGGCGGCCUACUGGGCACCAACUGACGCUGAGGCUCGAAAGUGUGGGUAGCAAACAGGAUUAGAUACCCUGGUAGUCCACACCGUAAACGAUGAUUACUAGGUGUUGGAGGAUAGACCCCUUCAGUGCCGCAGUUAACACAAUAAGUAAUCCACCUGGGGAGUACGACCGCAAGGUUGAAACUCAAAGGAAUUGACGGGGGCCCGCACAAGCAGUGGAGUAUGUGGUUUAAUUCGACGCAACGCGAAGAACCUUACCAAGUCUUGACAUCCUGCGACGAGUACAGAAAUGUGCUUUUCCUUCGGGACGCAGAGACAGGUGCUGCAUGGUUGUCGUCAGCUCGUGUCGUGAGAUGUUAGGUUAAGUCCUGCAACGAGCGCAACCCUCAUAUGUAGUUGCCAUCAUUAAGUUGGGCACUCUGCAUAGACUGCCGUGGUCAACACGGAGGAAGGUGGGGAUGACGUCAAAUCAUCACGGCCCUUACGGCCUGGGCUACACACGUGCUACAAUGGCUAUUACAAAGAGUUGCAAUACAGCAAUGUGGAGCGAAUCUCAAAAAGAUAGUCUCAGUUCAGAUUGUGGGCUGCAACCCGCCCACAUGAAGUAGGAGUUGCUAGUAAUCCCGAAUCAGCAUGUCGGGGUGAAUGCGUUCCCGGGUCUUGUACACACCGCCCGUCACGCCAUGGGAGUUGGGAGUGCCCAAAGUCGGUGACCUAACCGCAAGGAAGGAGCCGCCUAAGGUAAUACCAAUGACUGGGGUGA